This 294-nucleotide unclassified non-coding RNA is filed under the name plant metagenome. Its description in RNAcentral is "partial contains small subunit ribosomal RNA, internal transcribed spacer 1, and 5.8S ribosomal RNA". The stretch from base 1 to 54 matches the Rfam family "Eukaryotic small subunit ribosomal RNA", at positions 1778 to 1831 of the family's 1831-position model. The record is from RNAcentral.
GGAAGUGAAAGUCGUAACAAGGUUUCCGUAGGUGAACCUGCGGAAGGAUCAUUAAUGAGUUGUCAUGGGGUUCGAUGCUGGCAGCCAGUUUUUGGAUGCAUGUGCUUGCCCUAACAAUCAUCUUCUUCCAAACACCUGUGCACAUUUUUGAGGGAGUCUUGAGUUGGUUGCCGCUCUUGGGUGAUUUUCUCACAUUCCCUUAAAUCAUUAUACGCUAUUAACAAUGUUGAACGUGCUCUGUGCCGCAAGGCCAUUAAUAUAAUACAACUUUUAACAACGGAUCUCUUGGCUCUC